This is a non-coding RNA of Cyanistes caeruleus (blue tit), 781 nucleotides long. The record is from RefSeq and is a predicted model, not a curated record. NCBI's taxonomy places the organism in Eukaryota, Metazoa, Chordata, Aves, Passeriformes, Paridae.
GCAUUUCUCUUCCCAGCUGGCAUUCGCUGCGGCUCGUGUUUAUGGCACUUCCCGAUGGAAGCAGAGCUCUCCAGAGGACUCCUGGCUAAUAACACAAUCUAAUGGAAGUGCCCCUGUGGUGAGUGAUGCUGAGGAUGGAAGCAUGAGCCUUACAGUUUGCACUGAAAAGUCAGACCCUGAACUUCAUUGCAUUUGACCUUUUGUCAUCCAAGAAUUUGCAUAAAGUAUUCCCUUCUCUGGAAUUAGGUGCUUGAGUGAAACAUUUCAUGGGCCUGCUUAACUAUUCAUCUGUGCUACAAUAGCAAUUAAUGUCUGUGCAUCUACACUGAAGCAUUCUGGAUUUCAUUAAACAUGGUGCCUGUCACUGAUUACAAAAUCUGCUGCUGAAACAACUUCUAGAUGUGGUGGAAGACCUAUGGUUGUGGAUCCUUUGCACAUAUAAAUGUUAUUGUGUGUGUCUGUUUGACCAUGGUAGGAUAUUUAAUGUAUCACAGAAACAAGUUUUGUAUCUCCAAUUUCAGUGUCCCUCUCAUCUUAGAUCCUUCCUUUCAAACAUAUUUUCCCAUGUUUCAGCCUUUAAAAAAAGAAGAAAAAAACCCCCAAACUUUGAAAAAUUGUAACACAUUAUGAAAAGUAUACACUAUUGUCAUCCUCUGGGGAAAAGGGGAACUUUACUGUGUCUGCUGUUUUAAGUUCAUUGUGGUGUAUAGCAUGCUAAGUAACUGCUCAGUCAAAUGUCAGUGUGAAUUCAGAAAUCCUCAGUAGAGGAAAUAAAUAAAUA